RNAcentral lists this ribosomal RNA (406 nucleotides) under uncultured bacterium. RNAcentral's name for it is "partial 16S ribosomal RNA". It matches the Rfam family "Bacterial small subunit ribosomal RNA", at positions 30 to 526 of the family's 1533-position model. The record is from RNAcentral.
AUUGAACGCUGGCGGCAGGCCUAACACAUGCAAGUCGAACGAGUGGCGGACGGGUGAGUAAUGUCUGGGAAACUGCCUGAUGGAGGGGGAUAACUACUGGAAACGGUAGCUAAUACCGCAUACCAUCGGAUGUGCCCAGAUGGGCUUAGUUAGUAGGUGGGGUAAAGUCUCACCUAGGCGACGAUCCCUAGAUGGUCUGAGAGGAUGACCAGCCACUCUUGAAUGGAGACACGGUCCAGACUCCUACGGGAGGCAGCAGUGGGGAAUAGUGCACAAUGGGCGCAAGCCUGAUGCAGCCAUGCCGCGGGUAUGAAGAAGGUCUUCGGGUUGUAAAGUACUUUCAGCGUGGAGGCGUUACCCGCAGAAGAAGCACCGGCUAACUCCGUGCCAGCAGCCGCGGUAAUUC